This is a long non-coding RNA of Salarias fasciatus (jewelled blenny), 162 nucleotides long. RefSeq lists it as uncharacterized. The record is from RefSeq and is a predicted model, not a curated record. Lineage: Eukaryota; Metazoa; Chordata; Actinopteri; Blenniiformes; Blenniidae. The transcript has 3 exons.
UGUGUGUGUGUGUGUGUGUGUGUGUGUUUUGCAGGUAACAGUUUUUUUUUGUAAUUUUCUUGAUCAAACAUGCAUAAUUUCUCUACUUUCACCGCUGACAGUCGUUAAAAUUCAACAGCCUCUGCUCAUAGAGAGAGGAGAGAGAGAGAGAGAGAGAGAGAG